This 203-nucleotide long non-coding RNA is filed under the name Elaeis guineensis (African oil palm). RNAcentral describes it as "long non-coding RNA (EGUI_LNC019802)". The record is from RNAcentral. Lineage: Eukaryota; Viridiplantae; Streptophyta; Magnoliopsida; Arecales; Arecaceae.
CUCUGUUGCUGUUCAGUGGCUUCAUCAAGUUGCUAGAACUGAUCGCUCCUCAUCUGGUUCAUCCUCUUCUUCUGGACAUCCAAAAUAGUAUAUCUUCUUUAGAUCACUUCUAUGUUUCCCAUGUUGCGUCUCUCCCUCCCUCUGUGCGCAGUCUUGAUCGGGCUGAUAUAUAUGGUGUGUGUUACUCUCGGCUGUAAACCGGU